RNAcentral lists this ribosomal RNA (377 nucleotides) under uncultured bacterium. Its description in RNAcentral is "bacterial SSU rRNA". It matches the Rfam family "Bacterial small subunit ribosomal RNA", at positions 30 to 407 of the family's 1533-position model. The record is from RNAcentral.
AUUGAACGCUGGCGGCAUGCCUUACACAUGCAAGUCGAACGGCAGCGGACCUUCGGUGCCGGCGAGUGGCGAACGGGUGAGUAAUAUAUCGGAACGUACCUUUCAGUGGGGGAUAACGUAGCGAAAGUUACGCUAAUACCGCAUAUUCUGUGAGCAGGAAAGCAGGGGAUCGCAAGACCUUGCGCUGAUUGAGCGGCCGAUAUCAGAUUAGCUAGUUGGUGAGGUAAAGGCUCACCAAGGCGACGAUCUGUAGCGGGUCUGAGAGGAUGAUCCGCCACACUGGAACUGAGACACGGUCCAGACUCCUACGGGAGGCAGCAGUGGGGGAAUUUUUGGACAAUGGGCGGCAAGCCUGAUCCAGCCAUGCCGCGUGAGUG